AUAAAUCCUGUGACUAGAAAUAGUAGGAAAAAAAUAAAAGUCAGCGAAUCGAGGAUGGUGUGAGCUCGAGUAGAGGUUUUUUCUGAACGCAUCUGUGAGGAUUUUUCUUGAAAUAAGUAGGGAAAAACGUAGAACUGCGUUAAAUUAACUUAAAGUGGAUAAAUUUUAUUUAUCAAGCAGAGUGGUACCACGGAAUUAACCUGUCUCUAUU
Molecule: non-coding RNA, 211 nt
Filed under: Halanaerobium hydrogeniformans
Lineage: Bacteria; Bacillati; Bacillota; Clostridia; Halanaerobiales; Halanaerobiaceae
Description: T-box sequence
Rfam family: T-box leader
About the family: Uncharged tRNA acts as the effector for transcription antitermination of genes in the T-box leader family. T-boxes are found upstream of many aminoacyl-tRNA synthetase genes and some amino acid biosynthetic genes usually in Gram-positive bacteria. The anticodon of a specific tRNA base pairs to a specifier sequence within the T-box motif, and the NCCA acceptor tail of the tRNA base pairs to a conserved bulge in the T-box antiterminator hairpin.
Source: RNAcentral